GAAUUUAAUUUAAAGUCUAACCUGCCCAAUGAAUAAUUUAAUGGCCGCAGUAUUUUGACUGUGCAAAGGUAGCAUAAUCAUUAGUUUCUUAAUUAGAAGCUGGAAUGAAAGGUUGAACGAGAAAAUAACUGUCUCUUUAUAAAUUUUUUAGAAAUUUAUUUUUAAGUUAAAAAGCUUAAAUUUAUUUAAUAGACGAGAAGACCCUAUAGAGUUUUAUAUAAUUGAAUUUAAUUAUUAAAUUAGAAUAUUUUUAAUUUUUAAAUUUUAUUAUAUUUAAUUGGGGUGAUUGAAAAAUUUAUUUAACUUUUUUUUUAUAAAAACAUUUAUUUAUGAUUAUUUGAUCCAUUAUAUGUGUAUAUACAUAUAUAUAUAUAUGAUUAUAAGAUUAAAUUACCUUAGGGAUAACAGCGUAAUUUUUUUUUAGAGUUCAAAUCGAUAAAAAAGUUUGCGACCUCGAUGUUGGAUUAAAAUUUAUUUUUGGUGUAGUAGCUAAAAAAUUAGGUCUGUUCGACCUUUAAAAUUUUACAUGAUCUGAGUUUAAACCGGUGUGAGCCAGGUUGGUUUCUAUCUUUAAUUAUAUAAAAAUAUUUUAGUACGAAAGGACCAAAUAUUUCUAAUAAUUAUUAUAAGUUGAAUUUUAUU
Molecule: ribosomal RNA, 642 nt
Filed under: Amischa analis
Lineage: Eukaryota; Metazoa; Arthropoda; Insecta; Coleoptera; Staphylinidae
Description: partial 16S ribosomal RNA
Rfam family: Bacterial large subunit ribosomal RNA (bases 401-559)
Source: RNAcentral